GGGGGGAGGCCGGAUCCUGGGCUGUGUCCCGGCGCCCUGUGCUCCGGAGCCUGCGCUGCUGGAUUCGGGCUCCCGCCCCGCAGCCCCCU
This is a non-coding RNA of Canis lupus familiaris (dog), 89 nucleotides long. Lineage: Eukaryota; Metazoa; Chordata; Mammalia; Carnivora; Canidae. The record is from Rfam.